This 714-nucleotide ribosomal RNA is filed under the name Lagenidium sp. PWL-2010b. RNAcentral's name for it is "eukaryotic LSU rRNA". It matches the Rfam family "Eukaryotic large subunit ribosomal RNA", at positions 74 to 633 of the family's 3401-position model. The record is from RNAcentral. Lineage: Eukaryota; Oomycota; Peronosporomycetes; Pythiales; Pythiaceae.
AUUCCCCUAGUAACGGCGAGUGAAGCGGGAUGAGCUCAAGCUUAAAAUCUCCAUAGGAGUUUCCUGUGGCGAAUUGUAGUCUAUAGAGGCGCUGUCAGUGCGGCUGUUCGGGAUAAGUCUCUUGGAAAAGAGCAGCAUGGAGGGUGAUACUCCCGUUCUUGCCUGAGCAGCUUGCGCGUACGACACGUUUUCUUUGAGUCGCGUUGUUUGGGAAUGCAGCGCAAAGUGGGUGGUAAAUUCCAUCUAAAGCUAAAUAUUGGUGCGAGACCGAUAGCGAACAAGUACCGUGAGGGAAAGAUGAAAAGAACUUUGAAAAGAGAGUUAAAGAGUACCUGAAACUGCUGAAAGGGAACCGAAUCGUUUCCAGUGUCUAUAAUCCGUAGCAUAUUUCAUUGGCGAGUGGAUGCGUGCAGUGUUAAUGGCAGUGGCUUGCUGCGCCUUGCAUUGUUCUGCGUUUACUUGCUGGUGCCCUGUGUUGCGGUGGGACGUCAGAGUCAGUUCGUAUGCUGCGGGAAAUGGUCAUCGAGGAGGUAGGUGCUUGCACUGUUAUAUCUCGGUUGACUAGUCGUCGUGGUUGGGACUGAGGUGCCUACAAUGUGCUUUAACGUCUUGCGGGCGCUCAUUUGAUCAGCUGCUCUGAUAGCUUGCUAUGUUUGCGGUAUGGUCGGGUGAUUGUGUUUGUAAGUAACGUUUGCCGUUCGGGACUUUGACGAA